AGGUUGUUCACAUAAUCAGUGGAAUUCUUAACCCUCAACGGUUGUUGGACCAGAGUAUGUGCGAAAGAUUUGUGGCGAUAAGAGAGCGCCACGGAUUACGGCGAUAGGGGGCAGCCGUGCUCCAGGGGGGCGUACCCCACGCAGAGGGAUAAAAGCGGUGAUCCGCUGGAUAAGACCCCUUUUUUCGUUGUGCGGUUUUUGCUGGGUGCAAGCUGUCUGAACGUGAAAUAAACCUGAUGCAACGACGUCCGCAGCAUCCCGCCCGCCGUGCACCUGCCCGCUCCCGUUCCCGCGGAAGCCGCCCGGAUCCGGAUCCACCCCAGCACCACUCCGUGGCCACUUGGACAGUUGUGUCCCACGGACAGCCGGUUUCCUGGGCAUCCCGCACACGGUGGGCUCACCAGCCAAGGCCCCUCCAGGGGGACGACCCCACACAGACUCCGGCUCCGUUUCGCGGUCUGACGCUCACCGACCGCCACCCGGCCGAUCCCCUACAGCCCCUCACUGCGGAGGAGAAG
Molecule: long non-coding RNA, 518 nt
Organism: Ornithodoros turicata
Lineage: Eukaryota; Metazoa; Arthropoda; Arachnida; Ixodida; Argasidae
Exons: 2
Source: RefSeq, a predicted model, not a curated record